CAGACUCUAUUAAAUUCU
Molecule: small nuclear RNA, 18 nt
Filed under: Arabidopsis thaliana (thale cress)
Lineage: Eukaryota; Viridiplantae; Streptophyta; Magnoliopsida; Brassicales; Brassicaceae
Description: snRNA_02834
Source: RNAcentral